GAACUCGAAGAGUAGGGCGGGACACGUGGUAUCCUGUCUGAAUAUGGGGGGACCAUCCUCCAAGGCUAAAUACUCCUGACUGACCGAUAGUGAACCAGUACCGUGAGGGAAAGGCGAAAAGAACCCCGGCGAGGGGAGUGAAAAAGAACCUGAAACCGUGUACGUACAAGCAGUGGGAGCACCUUCGGGUGUGACUGCGUACCUUUUGUAUAAUGGGUCAGCGACUUAUAUUCUGUAGCAAGGUUAACCGUAUAGGGGAGCCGCAGGGAAACCGAGUCUUAACUGGGCGUUAAGUUGCAGGGUAUAGACCCGAAACCCGGUGAUCUAGCCAUGGGCAGGUUGAAGGUUGGGUAACACUAACUGGAGGACCGAACCGACUAAUGUUGAAAAAUUAGCGGAUGACUUGUGGCUGGGGG
This 416-nucleotide ribosomal RNA is filed under the name Klebsiella pneumoniae. Its description in RNAcentral is "partial 23S ribosomal RNA". It matches the Rfam family "Bacterial large subunit ribosomal RNA", at positions 401 to 821 of the family's 2925-position model. The record is from RNAcentral. Lineage: Bacteria; Pseudomonadati; Pseudomonadota; Gammaproteobacteria; Enterobacterales; Enterobacteriaceae.